CCCCCUGCCCCCCGGCCGGCCCGGCCCCGCGCCCCACUCCUGCCGAGCCCUUUCGCUCGCUUCCCCCGCUCGGAACAAAGAUGCGCUCUCCGGGAGGUGAAGAAUGGCGGGUUCCGCGAAGGUGGCGCUUGCCGUGGCUCAGGUCAUAGUGAAGAUGAAGAGAAGUAAAUGAAUUCUCACACUCAGAGGUAAGAAGCGGAGUGAACAGGACUUGGCAAAAUGUGCAAUGUACUAGAGAAGACAGGAUCUAGAUUUUGAAGAUCUAAAUCUUCAUAAGAAGAUCUUGCAUGGGAAGCCGAAGAGAGGAAAGGGAGAUUGUGGGAGCUGCGUGUUCAGUAAAGACCUUGCCCUCCUUUGAGGAAAGAACAAAGUAGUCCUAUGCAUCAUAAAACAGGAACUGUACCUCCUCACACAUCCCUCAAGCACUGAGAUAAUGUCUGUAGCUGGCACCACGGAGUCUGCACAUGAUCAAGACAUGUUGCAGGCCACUGCGUUCCCUUUGCUGAGUAACUGCCCUAAACCCUUUUAAGAACCCCUGGGCAAGGCAGAAACCUUGCAGUUGGUUUUGGUACAAGACUGCCCUCUCCCCAGGUGGCUGGCCUCCUGAAUAAAGCU
Molecule: long non-coding RNA, 615 nt
Organism: Nyctereutes procyonoides (raccoon dog)
Lineage: Eukaryota; Metazoa; Chordata; Mammalia; Carnivora; Canidae
Exons: 4
Source: RefSeq, a predicted model, not a curated record